Non-coding RNA from Nicotiana tabacum (common tobacco), 250 nucleotides. Lineage: Eukaryota; Viridiplantae; Streptophyta; Magnoliopsida; Solanales; Solanaceae. The record is from RefSeq and is a predicted model, not a curated record.
CGAUAGUUCAAAAGUUAGUUUAUUGAUCUAUGUUUUCGUACGACGAAGCUUCAUCUCUGUUCUUGUGACUUUCUGAUUUUGUGUUUUUCCUAUAGCCUUUAAUUCCUCUAUAUCUCACAAUAAUAAGUUUGUGAAGAAAUGUCUUCUGACCGAAGGAACAAACAUAUACAAAAGAUACAAAAGAGGAAUCCUUAGUGGAAAAACUUAUUGCAGAAGCAUCUGUAGGAGAAAAUUGUUGUAUUAUUAUAUU